RNAcentral lists this ribosomal RNA (468 nucleotides) under uncultured bacterium. RNAcentral describes it as "partial 16S ribosomal RNA". It matches the Rfam family "Bacterial small subunit ribosomal RNA", at positions 28 to 507 of the family's 1533-position model. The record is from RNAcentral.
GAUGAACGCUGGCGGCGUGCUUAACACAUGCAAGUCGAACGGAAAGGCCAGUGCUUGCACUGGUACUCGAGUGGCGAACGGGUGAGUAACACGUGGGUGAUCUGCCCUGUACUUCGGGAUAAGCUUGGGAAACUGGGUCUAAUACCGGAUAGGACAACUUUUUGGAUAUUGUUGUGGAAAGCUUUUGCGGUAUGGGAUGAGCUCGCGGCCUAUCAGCUUGUUGGUGGGGUAAUGGCCUACCAAGGCGUCGACGGGUAGCCGGCCUGAGAGGGUGUACGGCCACAUUGGGACUGAGAUACGGCCCAGACUCCUACGGGAGGCAGCAGUGGGGAAUAUUGCACAAUGGGCGCAAGCCUGAUGCAGCGACGCCGCGUGGGGGAUGAAGGCCUUCGGGUUGUAAACUCCUUUCGCUAGGGACGAAGCUUUUUUGUGACGGUACCUGGAGAGGAAGCACCGGCUAACUACGUG